This 514-nucleotide long non-coding RNA is filed under the name Olea europaea (common olive). Its description in RNAcentral is "long non-coding RNA (OEUR_LNC009328)". The record is from RNAcentral. Lineage: Eukaryota; Viridiplantae; Streptophyta; Magnoliopsida; Lamiales; Oleaceae.
UAGUUUUUAAGUGCAAUAUCACCUGUUAAACUGGUAAGCCAGUCUUCACGCAUGUAAAACACACGGCAUAAAUUAUACAUAAUAACUCUGUAAAUAAAUAUGAUAGUGGUACACUAAAUUAACGAUGUGGACCCUAGGCUACCUAGACCCAUUCUCGCUGCACCAGGGAUUCCAUGAACGAGGAUUUUGAGAUAUUUCGAGGACCAAAAGGAUUGUACUUCUAAACCUUUUGAGACAUUAUAGAACAAAAUUACUUUCGAAGUUCUCGUGCUACUUGCACAAGGCAUUCUGUUAACGUUUUCCAAUCUUUCAAUGGCGUACUCAAUAUAUCAUUCUUUUAGGGUCGGAUACCUUCUCCUUUCUUCCCUUUUGACAAAUUAACAGACACAAGGCCAAGCAUGGAAGUGACACUGGAACUUAUGACACUAAAGGAAGGUUGAAUAUUGGUAUACACGUAUGACAAGCUUAAUCUCGAAGAAUUGUGGAAUAUUAUAACAGAAGGCAAUCAACAAGC